AACGCAUAUUGCGCCCGAGGCCUCGGCCGAGGGCACGUCCGCUUGAACGCCACAAACACCAGCGCCACCCUACCUUUUCGAAAGGUGGACAGCAAGCGCCAGCUCCCUGUCGGGUGGAAUGUGACCGUCGUCCUUUCUGGUCGUCGGUUUAAUUCCGUGCCAUCGGAUGGGCCGUCGCGAAACUCACCUUUCCGUUCUGGCUGGGCGCCCCGCGGUGGCGGGGGAUACAACGUGCCGGGCGGGCUUCAGGGCAGUCACGCCCGCGGGAUCCGCAACCAGACGCGUCCCAUACCGAGUGGCCAGAAUCAUGCAACCGACUUGCGGGUGACCGAAAUGGGGAUGCUCGGUCGGCGUAGGAAGGAAGCAGCCCCUAAUGUUGGCUCCAAGUCGGGCGGGAUUACCCGCUGAAUUUAA
RNAcentral lists this unclassified non-coding RNA (414 nucleotides) under uncultured fungus. RNAcentral's name for it is "partial contains ITS1, 5.8S rRNA and ITS2". Lineage: Eukaryota; Fungi. The record is from RNAcentral.